RNAcentral lists this ribosomal RNA (254 nucleotides) under uncultured bacterium. RNAcentral's name for it is "partial 16S ribosomal RNA". It matches the Rfam family "Bacterial small subunit ribosomal RNA", at positions 524 to 776 of the family's 1533-position model. The record is from RNAcentral.
UACGUAGGGGGCAAGCGUUAUCCGGAAUCAUUGGGCGUAAAGCGCGUGUAGGCGGUUCCGUAAGUCCGCUCUGAAAGCCCAGGGCUCAACCCUGGGAGGCGGGUGGAUACUACGGAACUGGAGUACGGAAGAGGAGAUUGGAAUUCCUGGUGUAGCGGUGAAAAUGCGCAGAUAUCAGGAGGAACACCAAUUGCGAAGGCAGCUCGCUGGGACGUUACUGACGCUGAGACGCGAAAGCGUGGGGAGCAAACAGG